RNAcentral lists this ribosomal RNA (861 nucleotides) under Demequina lutea. Its description in RNAcentral is "bacterial SSU rRNA". It matches the Rfam family "Bacterial small subunit ribosomal RNA", at positions 79 to 951 of the family's 1533-position model. Lineage: Bacteria; Bacillati; Actinomycetota; Actinomycetes; Micrococcales; Demequinaceae. The record is from RNAcentral.
UUGCUCCUCCUGAUCAGUGGCGAACGGGUGAGUAACACGUGAGUAACCUGCCCCAGACUCUGGGAUAACAUCGGGAAACCGGUGCUAAUACCGGAUAUGAGACGAGACUGCAUGGUCAUCGUCUGGAAAGAUUUAUCGGUCUGGGAUGGACUCGCGGCCUAUCAGCUAGUUGGUGAGGUAAUGGCUCACCAAGGCGACGACGGGUAGCCGGCCUGAGAGGGCGACCGGCCACACUGGAACUGAGACACGGUCCAGACUCCUACGGGAGGCAGCAGUGGGGAAUAUUGCACAAUGGGCGCAAGCCUGAUGCAGCAACGCCGCGUGGGGGAUGAAGGCCUUCGGGUUGUAAACCCCUUUUAGCAGGGAAGAAGCGAAAGUGACGGUACCUGCAGAAAAAGCGCCGGCUAACUACGUGCCAGCAGCCGCGGUAAUACGUAGGGCGCAAGCGUUGUCCGGAAUUAUUGGGCGUAAAGAGCUCGUAGGCGGUUUGUCGCGUCUGCUGUGAAAGUCCGAGGCUCAACCUCGGAUCUGCAGUGGGUACGGGCAGACUAGAGUGUGGUAGGGGAGACUGGAAUUCCUGGUGUAGCGGUGGAAUGCGCAGAUAUCAGGAGGAACACCAAUGGCGAAGGCAGGUCUCUGGGCCAUAACUGACGCUGAGGAGCGAAAGCGUGGGGAGCGAACAGGAUUAGAUACCCUGGUAGUCCACGCCGUAAACGGUGGGCACUAGAUGUGGGGCUCUUUCCAUGAGUUCCGCGUCGCAGCUAACGCAUUAAGUGCCCCGCCUGGGGAGUACGGCCGCAAGGCUAAAACUCAAAGGAAUUGACGGGGGCCCGCACAAGCGGCGGAGCAUGCGGAUUAAUU